Molecule: ribosomal RNA, 2918 nt
Filed under: activated sludge metagenome
Description: bacterial LSU rRNA
Rfam family: Bacterial large subunit ribosomal RNA
Source: RNAcentral
UUAAGUAGAAAAGAGCAUAGGGUGAAUGCCUUGGCACCAAGCGCCGAAGAAGGACGCGGUCAGCUGCGAAAAGCCACGGGGAGCCGCAAGCAGGCAGAGAUCCGUGGGUAUCCGAAUGGGGAAACCCGAUUGCGGCAAUGCGCAAUCACCGCACACUGAACAAAUAGGUGUGGCGGAGGGAACCCGGUGAACUGAAACAUCUAAGUAACCGGAGGAAAAGAAAGAGAUAUCGAUUUCCUAAGUAGCGGCGAGCGAACGGGAAGGAGCCCAAACCCAUGGUCUACGGACUAUGGGGGUAGAGGACCGGCGGUAAGGGCUUGCGGGAAGAUUCGAAGACGUAUGGAACUACGCACCGAAGAGGGUAAAAGUCCCGUAGGAGAAAGCGAAGCGAGCCUAGCCGGGAUCCGGAGUACCACAGGACACGAGUAAUCCGGUGGGAAGCAGGGGGGCCCACCCCCCAAGGCUAAAUACGACUUGGUGACCGAUAGUGGACUAGUACCGUGAGGGAAAGGUGAAAAGCACCCCGGGAGGGGAGUGAAAGAGAACCUGAAACCCUAUGUUUACAAGCACAGGGAGCACGUUUAGUGUGCGACCUGGUACUUUUUGUAGAACGGACCGGCGAGUUGCGUAAUGCAGCGAGGUUAAGGUAUGAAGUACCGGAGCCGAAGCGAAAGCGAGUCUGAAGAGGGCGCGAGUUGCAGUACGCAGACCCGAAACCGGGUGACCUAUCCAUGGACAGGUUGAAGCGAGGGUAAAACCUCGUGGAGGACCGAACCACACUGCUGUUGAAAAAGUAGGGGAUGAGCUGUGGAUAGCGGAGAAAUUCCAAUCGAACCCGGAGAUAGCUGGUUCUCUCCGAAAUAGCUUUAGGGCUAGCCUUGUUAUUAAGGAAUCCGGGAGGUAGAGCACUGAAUGGGCUAGGGGGUCACAAGCUUACCGAACCCUAUCAAACUGCGAAUGCCCGAGAUUUAACGAACAGGAGUCAGACUAUGAGAGAUAAGUCCCAUAGUCGAGAGGGGAACAGCCCAGACCGACGGCUAAGGUCCCGAAGUAUGAGUUAAGUGGAAAAGGAUGUGUCAGUGCGAAGACAACCAGGAUGUUGGCUUAGAAGCAGCCAUACAUUGAAAGAGUGCGUAACAGCUCACUGGUCGAGUGCUGGUGCGCCGAAGAUGUCCGGGGCUAAAACUCAACACCGAAGCCACGGGUUCAGCGCAAGCUGAGCGGUAGGAGAGCGAUGCAUUGUAGGCAGAAGCGUGACCGAAAGGACACGUGGACGAUAUGCAAGAGAGAAUGCCGGUAUAAGUAGCGAGAGUCAAGUGAGAAUCUUGACCGUCGAAAGCCAAAGGUUUCCUGGGGAAGGUUCGUCCGCCCAGGGUAAGUCGGGACCUAAGCCGAGGGCGGAAGCCGUAGGCGAUGGACAAUCGGUAGAGAUUCCGAUACCACCGACGUUUGCAUGAACGAAGCAAUGACACAGAAGGGGAACCGAACCGGGCAGAUGGAAAUGUCCGGCCAAGCGUCGAGGCUUAAUGGCAGUGAAGCACGCCAUUAGUGAAGGCUGAGGCGUGAAGGGGAGUGAAAUUAGAGUAACGAAGUCGGGGUACUCACGCUGGCGAGAAAAGUUGCUAGUGAGAACGUAGGUGCCCGUACCGCAAACCGACACAGGUAGGCGAGGAGAGGAUCCUAAGACGACCGGGAUAACCCUUGUUAAGGAACUCGGCAAAAUGACCCCGUAACUUAGGGAGAAGGGGUGCCUAUAGGGAUAUAGGCUGCAGUGAAAAGGCCCAAGCGACUGUUUAGCAAAAACACAGGUUUCUGCGAAGUGGAGACACGACGUAUAGGGGCUGACGCCUGCCCGGUGCUGGAAGGUUAAGGGGAAGUGUUAGGGGCAACCCGAAGCAGAGAACCGAAGCCCCAGUAAACGGCGGCCGUAACUAUAACGGUCCUAAGGUAGCGAAAUUCCUUGUCAGGUAAGUUCUGACCCGCACGAAUGGCGUAACGAUUUGGGCGCUGUCUCAACAGGGGGCCCGGCGAAAUUGAAGUAUGUGUGAAGAUGCACAUUACCCGCGACUGGACGGAAAGACCCCGUAGAGCUUUACUGCAACCUGAUAUUGGAUUUUGGUGACUAAUGUACAGGAUAGGUGGGAGACUGAGAAGCAUUCACGCCAGUGGAUGCGGAGUCGGCGUUGGGAUACCACUCUUUGGUUACCGGAAUUCUAACCUACUGCCGUUAUCCGGGGUGGGGACAGUGUCAGGCGGGCAGUUUGACUGGGGCGGUCGCCUCCAAAAGGGUAACGGAGGCGCCCAAAGGUUCCCUCAGAAUGGUUGGAAACCAUUCGAAGAGUGUAAAGGCAGAAGGGAGCUUGACUGCGAGACUGACAAGUCGAGCAGGUACGAAAGUAGGGCUUAGUGAUCCGGCGGCAGAGAGUGGAAUUGCCGUCGCUCAACGGAUAAAAGCUACCUCGGGGAUAACAGGCUGAUCUCCCCCAAGAGUUCACAUCGACGGGGAGGUUUGGCACCUCGAUGUCGGCUCGUCGCAUCCUGGUGCUGGAGUAGGUACCAAGGGUUUGGCUGUUCGCCAAUUAAAGCGGCACGCGAGCUGGGUUCAGAACGUCGUGAGACAGUUCGGUCCCUAUCCAUCGUGGGCGCAGGAUAUUUGAGAGGAGCUGUUCCUAGUACGAGAGGACCGGAAUGGACGCACCUCUGGUGAACCGGUUGUCGCGCCAGCGGCACGGCCGGGUAGCGAAGUGCGGAAGGGAUAAACGCUGAAGGCAUCUAAGCGUGAAGCCCCCCUCAAGAAGGGAUAUCCCGACCUCGGAAGAGGAGUAAGGCCACCGCGAGACCAGCGGGUUGAUAGGUCGGGGGUGUAAGUGCAGCAAUGCAUUUAGCUGACCGAUACUAAUAGGCCGAGGACUUAAUCU